Molecule: ribosomal RNA, 374 nt
Filed under: uncultured bacterium
Lineage: Bacteria
Description: partial 16S ribosomal RNA
Rfam family: Bacterial small subunit ribosomal RNA
Source: RNAcentral
CCUACGGGUGGCAGCAGUGAGGAAUAUUGGUCAAUGGACGAGAGUCUGAACCAGCCAAGUAGCGUGAAGGAUGACUGCCCUCUGGGUUGUAAACUUCUUUUAUAUGGGAAUAAAACAGGGUAUGCAUACCCUCUUGUGUGUACCCUAUGAAUAAGGAUCGGCUAACUCCGUGCCAGCAGCCGCGGUAAUACGGAGGAUUCGAGCGUUAUCCGGAUUUAUUGGGUGUAAAGGGAGCGUAGGUGGAGUGUUAAGUCAGUUGUGAAAGUUUGCGGCUCAACAGUAAAAUUGCAGUUGAAACUGGCGUGCUUGAGUACUGGAGAGGAGAGCGGAAUUCGUGGUGUAGCGGUGAAAUGCUUAGAUAUCACGAAGAACAC